This 800-nucleotide ribosomal RNA is filed under the name uncultured bacterium. Its description in RNAcentral is "bacterial SSU rRNA". It matches the Rfam family "Bacterial small subunit ribosomal RNA", at positions 100 to 895 of the family's 1533-position model. The record is from RNAcentral.
GAACGGGUGAGUAAUGCAUCGGAACGUACCCAGUAGUGGGGGAUAACUUACCGAAAGGUAAGCUAAUACCGCAUACGCACUGAGGUGGAAAGCAGGGGACCGCAAGGCCUUGCGCUAUUGGAGCGGCCGAUGUCGGAUUAGCUAGUUGGUGGGGUAAAGGCCUACCAAGGCGACGAUCCGUAGCGGGUCUGAGAGGAUGAUCCGCCACACUGGAACUGAGACACGGCCCAGACUCCUACGGGAGGCAGCAGUGGGGAAUUUUGGACAAUGGGCGCAAGCCUGAUCCAGCCAUGCCGCGUGAGUGAAGAAGGCCUUCGGGUUGUAAAGCUCUUUCGGCCGGGAAGAAAUCGUGGUGGCUAAUACCUGCCAUGGAUGACGGUACCGGACUAAGAAGCACCGGCUAACUACGUGCCAGCAGCCGCGGUAAUACGUAGGGUGCGAGCGUUAAUCGGAAUUACUGGGCGUAAAGCGUGCGCAGGCGGUUGUGUAAGACAGGCGUGAAAUCCCCGGGCUCAACCUGGGAACUGCGCUUGUGACUGCACGGCUAGAGUACGGCAGAGGGGGGUGGAAUUCCACGUGUAGCAGUGAAAUGCGUAGAGAUGUGGAGGAACACCGAUGGCGAAGGCAGCCCCCUGGGUCGAUACUGACGCUCAUGCACGAAAGCGUGGGGAGCAAACAGGAUUAGAUACCCUGGUAGUCCACGCCCUAAACGAUGUCGACUAGUUGUUGGAGGGGUAAAACCCUUUAGUAACGUAGCUAACGCGUGAAGUCGACCGCCUGGGGAGUACGGCCGCAAGGUU